Molecule: ribosomal RNA, 206 nt
Filed under: uncultured bacterium
Lineage: Bacteria
Description: partial 16S ribosomal RNA
Rfam family: Bacterial small subunit ribosomal RNA
Source: RNAcentral
CGCGCAGGCGGUCGUUCAAGUCGAGUGUGAAAGCUUUCGGCUCAACUGGGGAGGGUCACUCGAUACUGAUCGACUCGAAGGCAGGAGAGGGAAGUGGAAUUCCCGGUGUAGUGGUGAAAUGCGUAGAUAUCGGGAGGAACACCAGUGGCGAAGGCGACUUCCUGGCCUGUUCUUGACGCUGAGGCGCGAAAGCUAGGGAGCAAACG